This 497-nucleotide ribosomal RNA is filed under the name uncultured bacterium. Its description in RNAcentral is "partial 16S ribosomal RNA". It matches the Rfam family "Bacterial small subunit ribosomal RNA", at positions 28 to 507 of the family's 1533-position model. The record is from RNAcentral.
GAUGAACGCUGGCGGCGUGCCUAAUACAUGCAAGUCGAGCGAACAGACGAGGAGCUUGCUCCUCUGACGUUAGCGGCGGACGGGUGAGUAACACGUGGAUAACCUACCUAUAAGACUGGGAUAACUUCGGGAAACCGGAGCUAAUACCGGAUAAUAUAUUGAACCGCAUGGAUCAAUAGUGAAAGACGGUUUUGCUGUCACUUAUAGAUGGAUCCGCGCCGCAUUAGCUAGUUGGUAAGGUAACGGCUUACCAAGGCAACGAUGCGUAGCCGACCUGAGAGGGUGAUCGGCCACACUGGAACUGAGACACGGUCCAGACUCCUACGGGAGGCAGCAGUAGGGAAUCUUCCGCAAUGGGCGAAAGCUUGACGGAGCAACGCCGCGUGAGUGAUGAAGGUCUUCGGAUCGUAAAACUCUGUUAUUAGGGAAGAACAAAUGUGUAAGUAACUAUGCACGUCUUGACGGUACCUAAUCAGAAAGCCACGGCUAACUACGUG